Molecule: long non-coding RNA, 851 nt
Filed under: Monodelphis domestica (gray short-tailed opossum)
Lineage: Eukaryota; Metazoa; Chordata; Mammalia; Didelphimorphia; Didelphidae
Description: lncRNA (ENSMODG00000033822.2)
Source: RNAcentral
AUGGAAGAGAAACUUCUCCCAUCCUCAAAUACGAAUCUCCUUCCAAAUUCGGGGUACAUCCCAGUCUACCAAAAUACCUCUCUUCUGAUUCCUAUUAGUAACAAGAAGACAAUGAAGCCUCUGAACAUGGUGAAAUUGACCCAUUCUAGGGAAAAAAGGAGAUCAAUCAGCAAACAGUUAUUAAAUGUGGAAUAUGUGCCAGGACAUUAUUCUGAAUAUGACUCCAUGACAAAAGAACACGAAACUCUGGAAUUUGUUGAACCCUCACUAGGUACCACUUGGUGGAAGCUUCAUUUGGAGAAAACGAAAUGGACCUUGUAGUCUGACUCUGAAACCUUCAAACAAUUCUUUAGUGAUUUAGUACAAGAAACAUAUUUCCAUUCUGAAAGAAGAAUGAGUUGGCAAUUUGUGCUUAUUUGUUUGAAUGAAGUAUGUUAGGGAUAAUCAUUAUUGCUACCUUUUUCAUUGCAGUUUCCAAAUCUGAACAUAGUCCAGUAAUUCUAGAAUACCUUACGAGUGAACAAGUUGAGAAGUAUUACAAAAACUCAUGUCUAAGGCUUAGUUUGGUAAAAUAAUUAUGGAAUUAUAAUUUGAGUCUUGUUCACCCACUUACCAUCUGCUGCCCUGAGGCUGCAUUCUAAGCAGUUGAGUUGAAAGAUGAAAAAUAUGAACCCUUCCUAGAAGAAUCAUAUUGACUAGAAACAGCAUGGGCUGUUAUGCCAUGAUCUUCAAGGCCAAAUCUAUAUUCAUGACUCGGUAGUUCUCCCUGCGAGCCUUCCUAAUUGAGGGGACAUAGGUGAGGACAAACUUCUCCAGAAUAAAGGAUCUUUUCUCUCCUACUUCUCCCCCCA